This 181-nucleotide small RNA is filed under the name Knoellia sinensis. RNAcentral describes it as "c-di-AMP sequence". It matches the Rfam family "c-di-AMP riboswitch aptamer (ydaO/yuaA leader)". Rfam says of the family: This family represents a conserved RNA structure found upstream of the ydaO and yuaA genes in Bacillus subtilis and related genes in other bacteria. The ydaO/yuaA element is thought to act as a genetic "off" switch for the ydaO and yuaA genes in its native state. It is believed that the element may be triggered during osmotic shock leading to activation of ydaO, a predicted amino acid transporter gene, and members of the yuaA-yubG operon which code for KtrA and KtrB K+ transporters. The record is from RNAcentral. Lineage: Bacteria; Bacillati; Actinomycetota; Actinomycetes; Micrococcales; Intrasporangiaceae.
CGCGACGGAUUGCCGAGUCCUGCCACCGUCACCGACUGCACCACACACCGCUGGCAGGAGCGGGGGACCCACUUUUGGGCAGACCCUCGGGUCGUCCCUUGGGGUGAAGCCAGUUCCGACUGGCCGGGCAGAACCUUUCGCCCGAACCCGACAGCUCACCUCGUAGGCAUCGAGAGGUUCA